Belonocnema kinseyi is the source of this 1723-nucleotide long non-coding RNA. RefSeq lists it as uncharacterized. The transcript has 4 exons. The record is from RefSeq and is a predicted model, not a curated record. Lineage: Eukaryota; Metazoa; Arthropoda; Insecta; Hymenoptera; Cynipidae.
AGUAAAACAGUUGUCAAUUGUAGUUGCCAUCAUACUCGCAUUAGGGAGGGUCCUGUGCUGAACACAAGAGGAAAAAUAUAAUAAAAAGAUUUAUGUACCAGAAAUGCUAACAACGGAAAAUAAAAGGAAGCAACGUUCAAAUUCAGCAGAGCAGAGAAUAUUCUUUUUUGUUAUUGUUAUUCUAAUUGUAAGAGGAUUGACUACUAACUCCGAGCGCACUACCAACUUGGAGGAACCAAUUCUCUUCAACGAAGCUUCAAAGAUCUGAACCUACCUGCUGUGUUGGUUAUAGAUCACAAGAAUUGUAUUAACAUUAAUACAUUUGAAGACCCUCACAAUCAAUCACAGAACUUUUAACAAAUCAAGAAAAAGGAACUGUAUUUUAUUUUCCAAUCGUCUCCAUCAUGCCUUAUACUGACUAUUACUCUGAUGUAGGAAAAUAUCAAUUGUAUUUUGGAAAGCAUAAAUACAAAACUUUAGAACAAGUGUGGAGAGAAGAUCCAUAUUACUGCUUAAGUUACUUAAGAUACUUAAGAUAUCGUCCAAAUUCAAAAUUUGCAUGCUAUAUUAAUGAAAGAUACUUAAAGGAUAUUGAAUAUUGUCAAUAAGAUUUCAGAAUCAAAAGAACUUCUGUCACUUCAAUGAUAAAAUAUUUGAACUUUUAUCAUUCAGUAAGAAUAUACAACUAUUUUGACGCAAACCAUAUUUUUUAUAAAAGGCGUGUUCAUAGCUACAGUUUUUAUCCAAAAUCUAUAAUUGAAAAAGAUCUCUAUUCCUUCAAUGGAGUAUUUGCUGAUUUAGUGAUAAGAAAACAUAUCUACAAUUCAAUACAAAAUCAGGAGGCAUUCGACAUUAAAACAGAAGAAAUGCUGAAGUCAAUUUCGUACAAUCAAGAUCUUUUAAAUGAUUACAAACAAGAUUAUGAAAUGUUUAAAGAUAAAAAUUGUCAUACAAUGCAUGUUUAGCCUAAUAUCUUCAAACUUGCCUUAUUGGAAAACAAAGUCAAAAAAGACACAAUUGUUAACUUCGAUGAAGAGAUGAUAGAACCAAAGCACAUUGUUGAAGUUUUAUCCUAUAUAGAGACUAUUCCUAACUUUGAAAGGGCAAUUUUAAAUCCUAUAUUGGAUACAAAUUUCUUUACUGCAGAUGCUGAUUUGAUAAUUGAGGAUACUAUUUUCGAUUUUAAAGUUUCAAAAAAUUCAGAUUUUAAUAUUUACCAAUUUUUGCAAUUGAUAUUUUAUACCGUUGCUUAUUAUAUCAGAGAAGAUAUAGAAAUUCGAAAAUUUGUCAUUUAUAAUCCGUUAUUAGGUCUAGAGCAUAGAUAUUAGAAUGAAAGAAUUUGAAUUUUAAGAAGCUGCUGAAAUAUUUUGAGGAUGUCAUUAUAUAAUAAUACAGAAAUUCAGGUUACAGAUUGGCUUCUCAAUAAGAAACCGUAUUUCUCCAACUUUGAGUUUGGAAGAUGCCCCCUCCAGGAUACCCUUUCGCACGCUGAGUAGUGUAAUCCUACACCGUAUCGUGUUUCAUGACCAGUGGAAGGCUAGUGGAGGGGGUACUUUAAUUUGCGGAAAUGUUUCCUCAUCACUUUCUUAUUGUGAGGCCGACCUGUGUUCCGAGCAAAACCGUGAAUUGCGAUUUUAUUGUCUAUUUUUAAUCAAUAUUUUUAGUGGUAAAUUGCAGUUAAUUUUUGCAUGCUUACAUUUUAGAUAUAUAUUAUGCAUAUGUA